Molecule: ribosomal RNA, 433 nt
Filed under: uncultured bacterium
Lineage: Bacteria
Description: partial 16S ribosomal RNA
Rfam family: Bacterial small subunit ribosomal RNA
Source: RNAcentral
AACGAACGCUGGCGGCAUGCUUAACACAUGCAAGUCGAACGAGGCCUUCGGGUCUAGUGGCGCACGGGUACGUAACGCGUGGGAACCUGCCCUUAGGUUCGGAAUAACUUCCCGAAAGGGGUGGUAAUACCGGAUAAUGUCAUCGGACCAAAGAUUUAUGGGUUUUGGAUGGGCCCGCGGUGGAUUAGCUAGUUGGUAGGGUAAAAGACGACCAAGGCGACGAUGCAUAGCUGGUCUGAGAGGAUGAUCAGCCACACUGGGACUGAGACACGGCCCAGACUCGUACGGGAGGCAGCAGUGGGGAAUAUUGGACAAUGGGCGAAAGCCUGAUCCAGCAAUGCCGCGUGAGUGAUGAAGGCCUUAGGGUUGUAAAGCUCUUUUACCCGGGAUGAUAAUGACAGUACCGGGAGAAUAAGCGCCGGCUAACUACGUG